Long non-coding RNA from Zootermopsis nevadensis, 2617 nucleotides. RefSeq lists it as uncharacterized. Lineage: Eukaryota; Metazoa; Arthropoda; Insecta; Blattodea; Termopsidae. The record is from RefSeq and is a predicted model, not a curated record.
CAAAGGUUUCUAAGAAAGAUCUAUCCCAGUCUCACAUGGCCUCCCCAGGCAGCAAACCCAGACCUCUGUAUUGAGAAGCCUAUAACUAACUGCCUGUGCAAGUCCCACAGACAAACCAUAUUCUACAGCCACUUGAUACGCAUAUGAUUACCUGUCCUGAUGAAGACUGAAUAACAUUGGUUGUCGGUGACUGGAUGCUUCGGCGGGAAGGAUGUAAACACAGAUUACUUAUUCGCAGUGAGCAGGCUGCUGGUCUGCAUGUUGUAUGCAGGUGGUGGGUAAUUUGUAGAUAAUACCGACGAAUAAUUUGGAAGAAGAUUAUCUGGAGAUAAAUGGCAGACAAUCUGGGCAUUUUGUCAAUUCUGGAAUGUCCAGUCUGUUUGGAAUACAUGAUCCCACCAAUUUUCCAAUGUCAGAAUCAGCACCUAAUUUGUUCGAAAUGUCAUACAAACCAGACGCGCUGCCCUAUUUGUCGAGGGAUGAUGAAAGGUGUCCGCAACCUGUGCAUGGAGAAAGUAACAGAAUAUAUUUCUUAUCCAUGCAAGAAUGAUGGAAAUGGUUGCAAUGCCAUGCUCAGGCUGGAUCAAAAGGAACACCAUGAGAAGAUCUGCCUUAAAAGUGGACAAUAUCAUUGUCUUCUACCAAUGACAGGGCAGAAUAUUAAAGAGUGUCUCUGGAUUGGCCCAUUUGAAAAAGCUGAUGCUCACAUAAGACAGACACACAGUCAUUUGAUUAAAAACUCAAAUGAUGGUUCUUUCAACUUAUAUGCAUCUGAAUUUAUAAAUUAUCAGUAUUAUAUAUUAUUUGAUGAUAACCUUUUCUGUGUUUUGAUACAUAAAGAUCCUUUAAGGACUUCCUGUGUCCAGAAGGUUUAUACAUUUUUCUUCCACAUUACCAGUGUAACAUGUACAAAAAGAAAAUCCUAUGCAUACAAUGUGAACAUUGAAGGGCAUUGUGAUACAUUUGAAGGAUUUGUGGGCAAGCUGGUCCGUCAUACUGAUAUUAAAGAUAUGGCUUGUAGAAAUGAAUGCCAUCAUUUUAUGGGAAAUGAUAACAAUUUUGCCUUUAAAGGAAACAUUGCCAAAAUAUAGUAAAAGUCUGAAGUACUGAUGUGCUGAUUUGCAAUCCCCUACCAAAUACUGAUAAGACCAGUACCUCAGUGGAGAAGGUCUACCUCAAUGAAAGAUCAUAAUUAGGAAUCAGCAUUGUUUAUAACAUAAUUGACUUUAUUGAUUUUGGUACAAUUAUAUUGUUUUUUAUUUCAUAUGCAGCAACUUAUAGGGGGAGAUUUGUAAUUUGUUUUUAAUCUCUGUAUUUCACUUGGACACAGACAGCGGGGUACUCAGUAAAAAGACAUCUGGUGUUUGUCAGUGUUUCUUCAGGGAAUUCAAAUUAUUAGGUCCUGUACUUUACUUCUUUAUUUAAUGUAUAAUCUUACGUGAACACACAACUUAACAAAUCAUGGGUGUUGGGUCACCAUGGCACCUAGAAAUUUUGUUGUGGUGUCAAAGUAUUUUUGUUUAGUGACCAUUUGCAGUCAUCUAUAUUAUGGUUAAUUUUUGGUUGAGAUUUUGUUCUAAAUGCCAUUAGGUGGUGCAAAGUUUGGCUGAUUAUAAGAAGGUGCAGACCAAUCCAUAAACGUUAUGCAACAAACUUGCAGAGAGUGAACUUCACAAACACUUUGUGAUAUUGUGGUUUGUGUUUUUCACUUAUAACUGCAUCUAAAAGUUUGUAGCUUUAAUAGUUGAUACAGCAACAGUGAAACUGCAGCAAUAACUGGGAGACAAGAAAAUUCAAAGUAAAUACACCUUUAAUGUUCCAUUGGAAAGAAUAAAUAACCUCCUCCAGAAGUGAACUCAGAAGGGUCCAUAUAAAUGAGGCAUUUGUCGAAUGGGCCAAAGUUUUGACAUUUAUAUUUAAUCAUGCCAUAGAUAUAGCAAACUGUGAGGAAUAUAUCUUCCUCUUCCAGUAUUGCAGAUCAGUACUCUGCGUAUGAACCAUUGGUACACUACUUCGGAUCUAAAACCACAAAAUGUGUAUGGCCACAAGAGGCCGAGUCAGAAAUCGUGAAAGUAAGCAUGGCAUGCAAAUAAUUUAUUUCCUGUCAGAAUGUUAUUUUAUAUAAAUGUCGUUAUCUCAUGUAAUUGCUCACAGAUACAUUAAAACAUGUUAUGAAAUGCAUGCAUAGCUUAUUAAUUGUAGAAAGUUUGCCAGAAUGUUACCGUUGUGAAUGGCACCAAUAAUUUCAGUUAUCUUGGGCAAGUGACCUUUUCACUCUGUCAUAGUAUUUAUGUCAGUGCCAGUACAUCCCGGAAUCUGAUUUAUCUCUCAUAUAAAAUUAGAGGGUUUUGAUAAAUUGACUCUAAAAAAAGUACUACAAGAGUUUCAUAUUUUAAUUGAAUUAAAAUCCAAAUGACUUAGUCUAAUAAUUCAGGAAACAAGGAAGUAAGUUUUUUCUACAACAAUGUUGUUGCCAAGGUACUGAUGGUAAAAUUAUGUGCUCUGUUACUGUUGAAUAUAUUUCCCUAUUGAACAGUAAGCUCUAAAAAGUAUGUGUGCUUUUAUGUAAAAUGGUUGUUAAAACUGUGUGAUCUGAAUAAAGAUUAAAAUAGCUUGA